RNAcentral lists this long non-coding RNA (223 nucleotides) under Vigna radiata. Its description in RNAcentral is "long non-coding RNA (VRAD_LNC010760)". The record is from RNAcentral. Lineage: Eukaryota; Viridiplantae; Streptophyta; Magnoliopsida; Fabales; Fabaceae.
UGAUGAGGUUGAUGCACAUGGAUUGGUGAAGGAAUUCAUCUCGUGUGUUAAUUAGUAUUGUAUUGUACAGUAGAAUACAAUCACAUAUUUGCUUUAUGCGUUAUCUUACAUACCGUUGAGUUGCUUGAAAAGAAGACAAAGCGAACCUCAUCCAUUUCAUCCUCGUCAUGAAGUACAUGACACCAAUUUUCACUCACUUUAUAACUCCCCAUCAUUAGGUCGG